Pleuronectes platessa (European plaice) is the source of this 1969-nucleotide long non-coding RNA. RefSeq lists it as uncharacterized. The record is from RefSeq and is a predicted model, not a curated record. Lineage: Eukaryota; Metazoa; Chordata; Actinopteri; Pleuronectiformes; Pleuronectidae. The transcript is spliced from 3 exons.
GUUAGUGCACAUAACUCAGUCAUGGUGCCUGACAUGCAUGAACUUUAAGUCGGAUGUAUGUUUAUUUUGUUCCACCCUGUCUGCGGCCCCUUCACCCUGCAGGAUGUCGUCCCUCAGGACAGCGUCUAAUGCUGCAGCUGGAUCGUGCGCCUCUUCGUUUGUCUCGAGAACAAACAGUAAGGGAGGAAUAGAGACAAACACACGGAAACGGGAAGGGAUGUAUGAGAUAACUUAAGGUGUGAUGACUGAUGGGACACAUAGACACAUGGUCUCAUGGUGUCUUUAUCUGCAGCACUGUCUGACUAUAGUUCAGCACCAACACGAUCCACAUUAUCAGAGGGCAAGAAGGGACACUUCUGAACAAACAAGGACAGGAAUGACAGGCACGUGGAUAGUGGACAGAUGAUUGCAUGUGACUGCUCAAGACAAGCUGCAUGAGAGAAGAGUCGUUCAACAUUCAGGCAGCAGCCAGAAAAUAGAUGGAAGCAGAAAGCAGUCAGAGAGCACCACCAUGUGGCAGAAAGGAGGAACUGUAGAUCUGUGGAUGGGAAUUACUACAUCUAAUACAAAGGAAGCCUGAAAUUGAAGUGCACUGUUUUCAGAGUUCACCAUGACAGCCAUAAAUCUAACAGUAAUGAACUUACAUAAGUACAUUAGAUUUACAUUAGUAGGCCAUUUUGCUUUGAUCGACUUAAAAUUGUUAAAACAGCAUUUUUCUGCUCAACUAUAUAAACCAAAAAUGUAAAUGCCAUGAGAAUUUAUCACCAGAGCAGCUAAGUUAAACAGAGUAUCACAGCAGCAAGUAAGAAAUGUAUCCUCCUGUUGAUCACUCUUUUUCAUUCUGGUGUUUCUUGUAUUUACAAUUUAUUAAUUGGCAGUUUUCCCUUUUUUUUUACCAUUGUAAUAAUUCAUGUAAGUCAAUGGUAAGAAAUCUUUCUUGCAAAUCCUGGUUUACAGCGUGUGUCAGCUCCCCAUUUCCCUUGAGCCAAGAGUCAAGCUGAACAGCAGGUGGAUGACAGGCAGACGUCCCUGCAUGUGACAGUUUGAAGAUAACGAUGGGCCUAAAAAUAGAUUUUCUAUGUAACCGCUGAUCUAUAAAUAACCUUUUCUCUUCGAAGCUCUUCACAUUAUUCACAUUAUUCUCCUGUGUGUUCUGAGCUCUGACGCACAGAAACAUUUGAAGCUCAACUGAAGCAUAUUUUCUGAUUUAGUAAUAAACAAAGACAUAAAGGUCAAUUAUGUCAUAUUUUUCGCAAUAAAAUCCACAUAGAUAAUUGAAAAGUCUGUUGCAUACUCUAAAACAGGGCUGCAACUGACAAUUAUUUUCAUUAUAAAAAAGAAAAUUCAUCAAGCAAUUAAUUAUUUCAUCUAGAUGCUGAACAAUAUCACAGCGGUCAAGGUAAUGUCUUUAAAAUGGCUGUUAUGUCUGAUCAAUUAAGACAGAGGAUUUUAUUUUCUCAGCAGACAUGUGAAGAAUGAAAGUGGGGAAAGCGGAGAGAAGAAUAAAAUGAGAUGAUGGGUGAAUUCCAUUUAGCUGCUUCAGUUUCAAGGUCCUGAUGUUGUGCAUGCUGCCUCACUGUCACAGGGCCCUUCAAUAAAACUCAGACAUUGUUUUAUUUUUAUUCUCUUAUCAAAUAUAUAUUAUAAAGUGUAUAUAAAUAUAUUUAAAAAAAUUGUGUGAAAAGGAUUUGAAAGAAAAAACAUGUUGAUCUUCACAUAAUAGAUCACUCCUGUAUUUCUGCGGGAUUGAAACAAUAACCAAAUCAAUCAAUUCACUAUCGAAAAUGAAAAUUUGUUUUAUUUUUAAGUUUUCGAACAAACAAAAAAAAGGAAUUAUUUUACUGUUACUACACAAUAAUGAUUUAAAAUUAAUCAAUUAAAAAUCUUUGGUUUGGAUCAAAGAUUGUGGACUUCUUUUUGAGAAAAAUAUAUGGGAAAUCCUUAGUAAAUUUUGUUAUGUAACAUUAUA